Molecule: transfer RNA, 73 nt
Filed under: Myotis davidii
Lineage: Eukaryota; Metazoa; Chordata; Mammalia; Chiroptera; Vespertilionidae
Rfam family: tRNA
About the family: Transfer RNA (tRNA) molecules are approximately 80 nucleotides in length.
Source: Rfam by way of RNAcentral
GCCAGUUUGACUUAGUGGAUAGAGUGUCAGCCUGCAGACUGAAGGGUCCUGGGUUUGAUUCCAGGUGCAGGCU